Molecule: ribosomal RNA, 448 nt
Filed under: uncultured bacterium
Lineage: Bacteria
Description: partial 16S ribosomal RNA
Rfam family: Bacterial small subunit ribosomal RNA
Source: RNAcentral
CCUACGGGCGGCUGCAGUGAGGAAUAUUGCGCAAUGGGGGAAACCCUGACGCAGCGACGCCGUGUGAGCGAUGAAGGCCUUCGGGUUGUAAAGCUCUGUCAGAGGGGAAGAAAGGGGAUAUGGCUAAUAUCCAUGUCCAUUGACGGUACCCUUGGAGGAAGCACCGGCUAACUCCGUGCCAGCAGCCGCGGUAAUACGGAGGGUGCGAGUGUUAUUCGGAAUCGCAGGGGGAUAAGAGCACGUGGUGGGAAAUCCCGGAGCUCAACUCCGGAACUGCAUUUGAUACUGCCUGUCUUGAGUGUGGUAGAGGGGGGUGGAAUUCCCGGUGUAGAGGUGAAAUUCGUAGAUAUCGGGAGGAACACCAGAGGCGAAGGCGACCCCCUGGGCCACUACUGACGCUGAGGUGCGAAAGCGUGGGGAGCAAACAGGAUUAGAUACCCCAGUAGUC